GCUCACUUCAGCAAACCUAUGCCAAAAGCAGAACAAUGCGAAGAAGAUUCACAUGUCCCCAGCCCAAGAAUGAUGUGCAAAUUCUGAAAACUUUCCAGAUUUUA
RNAcentral lists this small nuclear RNA (104 nucleotides) under Notamacropus eugenii (tammar wallaby). Lineage: Eukaryota; Metazoa; Chordata; Mammalia; Diprotodontia; Macropodidae. The record is from RNAcentral.